GAUGAACGCUGGCGGCGUGCCUAAUACAUGCAAGUCGAGCGAACGGACGAGAAGCUUGCUUCUCUGAUGUUAGCGGCGGACGGGUGAGUAACACGUGGAUAACCUACCUAUAAGACUGGGAUAACUUCGGGAAACCGGAGCUAAUACCGGAUAAUAUUUUGAACCGCAUGGUUCAAAAGUGAAAGACGGUCUUGCUGUCACUUAUAGAUGGAUCCGCGCUGCAUUAGCUAGUUGGUAAGGUAACGGCUUACCAAGGCAACGAUGCAUAGCCGACCUGAGAGGGUGAUCGGCCACACUGGAACUGAGACACGGUCCAGACUCCUACGGGAGGCAGCAGUAGGGAAUCGUACGCAGUGGGCGAAAGCCUGACGGAGCAACGCCGCGUGAGUGAUGAAGGUCUUCGGAGCGUAAAACUCGGUUAUGAGGGAAGAACAGAUGUGUAAGUAACUGUGCACAGCUUGACGGUACCUAAUCAGAAAGCCACGGCUAACUACGUG
Molecule: ribosomal RNA, 497 nt
Filed under: uncultured bacterium
Lineage: Bacteria
Description: partial 16S ribosomal RNA
Rfam family: Bacterial small subunit ribosomal RNA
Source: RNAcentral